UUGUCCUGGACCAAUUGUAGAUUCUGAAGGAAGAGCGAUCAAUAUUCUACUCAGCCUGGACAACGGAAAAAACUUCCUGAAUAACGGUUUAUACGUUGCCAGUAGGAUAUGUGGCAAAAGUCCACUAACUACAGUUAAAACCAGCGGAAAAACUACAACCAUAACUACAAAAACUACAAGGAGGACUACCACCACAACUCCAUCCACUACAACUACUACACCCACCACCAUCACAGAGAAACCGAAGCCAAGCAUCGAUAAAUUCAUUUUUGUCCCUAUACUUCUGGCCCUGCUGCUGUCGAUGUUGCUGAUUGGUUGUUGCUGGCAGCUGUGCUGUGUUCCGCCUGUAGAGGAGCUGCCCCCACCUCAGCCCCGACCACAGGUAAGUCAUGCUUUGGAUGCUGACAUUGUCACGUGGCCAAGUACAAUGACCUUCAAGAGAGGAAUCAGAAGACCUGCACUCAGGAAGGAAGAAGGGCAGAGGAGCUCAAGGAUCAAGAAAGGGGUUCACAGUGACAUCACCCAAAGACAAGGUCCUACCCGAUUUUUAGGAUCUCCUGCCUUAGCUACACCAUCUGCACCCUGGGGAGCUGCGUCAGCAUAUGCAGUUGUUUCUAUGGGCUGUAGCUCUUAGGAGACCUCAGAGGACUCUGGUGCCAGGGUUGCAGCUGCGCUCCUGAGAACUGGAUUCCCUGUCAAGCCCUGGUUCCCAUCCCUAUGUUGGAGGUCUUUAGAUCUAACUCCAACCCUGCUCCUGUCGAGGUAGAAGGAUUGGCUGGGAUCAGCCUAGGGAC
This 794-nucleotide long non-coding RNA is filed under the name Rattus norvegicus (Norway rat). RNAcentral's name for it is "long non-coding RNA NONRATT011776". Lineage: Eukaryota; Metazoa; Chordata; Mammalia; Rodentia; Muridae. The record is from RNAcentral.